GGUGGCUCAGUGGUAGAGUGCUUGCCUCAUAUGCAUGAAUUCCUGGGUUCAAUUCCUCAGCACCA
This 65-nucleotide transfer RNA is filed under the name Dipodomys ordii (Ord's kangaroo rat). It matches the Rfam family "tRNA". Rfam says of the family: Transfer RNA (tRNA) molecules are approximately 80 nucleotides in length. Their secondary structure includes four short double-helical elements and three loops (D, anti-codon, and T loops). Lineage: Eukaryota; Metazoa; Chordata; Mammalia; Rodentia; Heteromyidae. The record is from Rfam by way of RNAcentral.